UACGUAGGGCGCGAGCGUUGUCCGGAAUCAUUGGGCGUAAAGAGCUCGUAGGCGGCCUGUCGCGUCUGCUGUGAAAUCCCGGGGCUUAACCCCGGGCGUGCAGUGGAUACGGGCUGGCUGGAGGCAGGCAGGGGAGAACGGAAUUCCCGGUGUAGCGGUGAAAUGCGCAGAUAUCGGGAGGAACACCGGUGGCGAAGGCGGUUCUCUGGGCCUGUACUGACGCUGAGGCGCGAAAGCUAGGGGAGCAAACAGG
This 253-nucleotide ribosomal RNA is filed under the name uncultured bacterium. RNAcentral describes it as "partial 16S ribosomal RNA". It matches the Rfam family "Bacterial small subunit ribosomal RNA", at positions 524 to 776 of the family's 1533-position model. The record is from RNAcentral.